UGCAGUCGAGCGGUAGAGAGAAGCUUGCUUCUCUUGAGAGCGGCGGACGGGUGAGUAAUGCCUAGGAAUCUGCCUGGUAGUGGGGGAUAACGUCCGGAAACGGACGCUAAUACCGCAUACGUCCUACGGGAGAAAGCAGGGGACCUUCGGGCCUUGCGCUAUCAGAUGAGCCUAGGUCGGAUUAGCUAGUUGGUGGGGUAAUGGCUCACCAAGGCGACGAUCCGUAACUGGUCUGAGAGGAUGAUCAGUCACACUGGAACUGAGACACGGUCCAGACUCCUACGGGAGGCAGCAGUGGGGAAUAUUGGACAAUGGGCGAAAGCCUGAUCCAGCCAUGCCGCGUGUGUGAAGAAGGUCUUCGGAUUGUAAAGCACUUUAAGUUGGGAGGAAGGGCAGUAAAUUAAUACUUUGCUGUUUUGACGUUACCGACAGAAUAAGCACCGGCUAACUCUGUGCCAGCAGCCGCGGUAAUACAGAGGGUGCAAGCGUUAAUCGGAAUUACUGGGCGUAAAGCGCGCGUAGGUGGUUCGUUAAGUUGGAUGUGAAAUCCCCGGGCUCAACCUGGGAACUGCAUUCAAAACUGACGAGCUAGAGUAUGGUAGAGGGUGGUGGAAUUUCCUGUGUAGCGGUGAAAUGCGUAGAUAUAGGAAGGAACACCAGUGGCGAAGGCGACCACCUGGACUGAUACUGACACUGAGGUGCGAAAGCGUGGGGAGCAAACAGGAUUAGAUACCCUGGUAGUCCACGCCGUAAACGAUGUCAACUAGCCGUUGGGAGCCUUGAGCUCUUAGUGGCGCAGCUAACGCAUUAAGUUGACCGCCUGGGGAGUACGGCCGCAAGGUUAAAACUCAAAUGAAUUGACGGGGGCCCGCACAGCGGUGGAGCAUGU
Molecule: ribosomal RNA, 889 nt
Filed under: uncultured bacterium
Lineage: Bacteria
Description: bacterial SSU rRNA
Rfam family: Bacterial small subunit ribosomal RNA
Source: RNAcentral